Molecule: long non-coding RNA, 1206 nt
Filed under: Nicotiana benthamiana
Lineage: Eukaryota; Viridiplantae; Streptophyta; Magnoliopsida; Solanales; Solanaceae
Description: long non-coding RNA (NBEN_LNC032152)
Source: RNAcentral
GUGAAGGAUACCAUUCUCAGCAAAGAAAUUGAUUCCAGCAUUACUAGUUCCAAGUUCAAGAGCAUUAUCACUCCUGAUGGUUUGGACAACAGUCUGAAAUUGAGUUUUGAUCAUGGCAAUGAAUGCCUUGAUAAUGGGAAAGGCAUUGCUUUUGGACCCCAUAAGGUGUCCAAGUAGCUCUAGUAAAAUCAUCAACUAUUGUUAAAAAUAUUUGCACCCAGUAUGGGUGGCAGUGGCAUAAGGGCCCCAGGUAUCUAGAUGGAUGAGCUGAAAAGGAUGUGUUGUUUUUAUAGAACUUUCAGGAAAGGGCAAUCUAGACUGUCUUGCUAAUGGACAGAUAGUACAUAUAAAAGGUUGUUUAUUUGCAAAUUUACAUGGAAUAGAAGAAAUGUCUUUCGUUCUAACAAAAGGAAUGUGCCCUAGUUUGUUAUGCCAUAAUAUCUCCAUUUUAUUCAAUUCAGAAUAGUAUGUACAAUGAGAAGAAGAAACAGAAGCAAUGAUAGUGCAUAUAAAAGGCUGUUUAUUUGCAAAUUUACAUUGGAAUAGAAGGAAUGUCUUUCAUUCUGACAAAAGGAAUGUGCCCUAGUCUAUUAUGCCAUAAUAUCUCCAUUUUAUUCAAUUCAAAAUGGUAUGUACAAUGAGAAGAAGAAACAGAAGCAACAGCUAAUGGAGAAUGGUAAUUACAAGGAGUAUAGGAUUGAGAGGGAGUAGAAAGGGAAGAUUGCACAAGCCUGUAAAGACCAUCAUCCAGCUUACCAAUUUCCAGUGGCCUCUUCAUAGAAGGGGCCUGUAUCAAGCAAGAAAAUUUAGUGAAUAGGACAAUAGAAUUCAGCUGAUGAACAAGUUUGGAGACAGAAAUGAGAUUGUAAUGAAAGAUGGGAAUAUAGAGGACAUGAUGUAAGGUGAAGCAAAGAAAUUUGAUGGACCCAGUACAUGUUACCUUGACUUUGUAACCAUUAGGUAAGGUAACUAAGUAUGGCAUAACUAAUGGUUUAAUGUCAAACAGAAGAGUUUUAUUGGAAGUCAUGUGGUCAGUGGCACCAGAAUCUAUAAUCCAAAUGCAUUCACUAACUCUAGUUAACAUGCAAGCUCCAUAAGAUACAUUUCUUAGAGGACUGAGAGAAGAAGAGAGUGUACCAGCAAAGUUUGCAGAUGCCAUAAGACUUGAUUGAUGUUGAGAUUCUGAGACUUGUGUCUGUUGGAGCA